RNAcentral lists this non-coding RNA (143 nucleotides) under Desulfotomaculum copahuensis. RNAcentral describes it as "RT-14 RNA". It matches the Rfam family "RT-14 RNA". From Rfam's summary of the family: Cloacimonetes, Firmicutes, Proteobacteria. Nearby to self-splicing intron genes Lineage: Bacteria; Bacillati; Bacillota; Clostridia; Eubacteriales; Desulfotomaculaceae. The record is from Rfam by way of RNAcentral.
CUCUGGUUAUUAGCGAGAUUGUAAAGGUUUACGGACCUUUGCACAGGGCCACCAGACCAAAGGAGCCCUAUUCCUUCCCUAUUUAGGGUAAAAAUACAAGCUGCGAAGGGUAUCUAGUAGCAGGCCGAACGAUAUCCUUCGCU